RNAcentral lists this ribosomal RNA (700 nucleotides) under Culicoides schultzei. RNAcentral's name for it is "eukaryotic LSU rRNA". Lineage: Eukaryota; Metazoa; Arthropoda; Insecta; Diptera; Ceratopogonidae. The record is from RNAcentral.
GAACGGGUUACCUGAUGACCUAAAUAUCUGAAUGAGGAAAUUCAGCAUUAGUGUGCCAGAUGAUGGUACAUUGGUGUGCACUUUUCUUCUAGUAAGACGUUGCGAUCCAUUAGAAAUGCAAAUUAAAUCUGUAUAUAGGCCCGAAUAGGAGUUUAUACAUUAAGCGAGUAACAUGACUUUGUUGUUAUGUGAAUGCGUGUAAACUAUUUGGUGUUCUUACAGAUGUCUGAUGGUAUAUUGACGAGUGUCACAUACAAUUCCAUUGUGAAUUGACAUUCUUUUAUUAGAAUGUGAAGUGUGUACAUUUUCUCCAACGUUUUAUAUUUUUGAUACCCUCUCGACCCCCCUUGAAACACGGACCCAAAAAUCUAAAUUGUGUGCGAGUCUAUGGGAUUUUUUAAACCCAUAUGCGAAAUGAGAUUAAAUUGUGAUACAAAUGGGAUUUCAAAAGGGGUAUUUAAUAUGCGCUUUUUCCCCCCCCCGGGAUAUCAAAGUGAAUACUGUGAUUUUUCGUGCGUGUGCCACACAAAUAUACAGCGAGCACACACACUGUGACACGAAAAUAGGGUGAUCUAUGUGAGCUCGGUUGAUCUCGGGAGACCCUGAGAGAAAGAGUAUAAAUCUCACACGCGCAUCUCUAGUGACAGAUUGGAUAUAGGCGAAAACACACUCACCCCUCUAUAUCGGCUCCUUUCAAAAA